RNAcentral lists this small nucleolar RNA (107 nucleotides) under Nicotiana sylvestris (wood tobacco). Its description in RNAcentral is "Plant small nucleolar RNA R71". It matches the Rfam family "Plant small nucleolar RNA R71". From Rfam's summary of the family: R71 is a member of the C/D box family of snoRNAs containing the C (UGAUGA) and D (CUGA) box motifs. Multiple nearly identical copies of this snoRNA have been identified in Arabidopsis, and it is thought to function as a 2'-O-ribose methylation guide for 18S ribosomal RNA. The record is from Rfam by way of RNAcentral. Lineage: Eukaryota; Viridiplantae; Streptophyta; Magnoliopsida; Solanales; Solanaceae. RNAcentral also lists the same sequence under 1 other name.
AUACCAUGGUGCGGACAUAUAAUCAGCAUCCCUUUGAAUCGUUCCCAUGUUUCAUGUAGUGUCUCUAUUGGUCUCUGUUUGAAACUCAAAAUUUCAUCAAUUUGUUG